UUAUGUCAUCUAUUCCUUUUACAUCUUCCUUUUCUAAAGCAAGGUGUAAUGAAGUGGAAACAACACUUUUCCCACCCUAAAAGAUAUCUUUCUUUACAAAGAACAGAGAAGAAAGCAUAAAGCCAUACAUCAAUCACAAUAAUUAACAAUCUACCUAUGUUUACUUUUCAUGUGUCUAUUUUCCAUAUACCCUUGUUUGGAUUUGAAUGAGUAAUCCUGACUACUUUAUGUUUCGAAUCCCGCCUUUUCUUGUUGACGUAUUCGUGAGGAACAGUAUCUACUUUUACCAAAUCAACUUUCACUAUGUGGUGAUCAGAUGUUCCUUUCGAGGAGAAAACCGAGUAUGAUCCUGGAACAAACUUGUAUGGUGAA
RNAcentral lists this unclassified non-coding RNA (372 nucleotides) under Hevea brasiliensis (rubber tree). The record is from RNAcentral. Lineage: Eukaryota; Viridiplantae; Streptophyta; Magnoliopsida; Malpighiales; Euphorbiaceae.